GCGACCUCGCGAGAGCAAGCGGACCUCAUAAAGUGCGUCGUAGUCCGGAUUGGAGUCUGCAACUCGACUCCAUGAAGUCGGAAUCGCUAGUAAUCGUGGAUCAGAAUGCCACGGUGAAUACGUUCCCGGGCCUUGUACACACCGCCCGUCACACCAUGGGAGUGGGUUGCAAAAGAAGUAGGUAGCUUAACCUUCGGGAGGGCGCUUACCACUUUGUGAUUCAUGACUGGGGUGAAGUCGUAACAAGGUAACCGUAGGGGAACCUGCGGUUGGAUCAC
Molecule: ribosomal RNA, 278 nt
Filed under: Escherichia coli
Lineage: Bacteria; Pseudomonadati; Pseudomonadota; Gammaproteobacteria; Enterobacterales; Enterobacteriaceae
Description: partial 16S ribosomal RNA
Rfam family: Bacterial small subunit ribosomal RNA
Source: RNAcentral